CACGUAGUUAGCCGGGGCUUCUUAGUCAGGUACCGUCUGUUUCUUCCCUGCCGAUAGGGCUUUACGCACCGAGGUGCUCCUUCACCCACGCGGCGUCGCUGCAUCAGGGUUCCCCCCAUUGUGCAAUAUUCCCCACUGCUGCCUCCCGCAGGAGUCUGGGCCGUGUCUCGGUCCCAGUGUGGCCGUCCGCCCUCUCAGGCCGGCUACCGAUCGUCGCCUUGGUGGGCCGCUGCCCCGCCAACUAGCUAAUCGGACGCGGGCCCAUCGCGCACCGUCCGGGUCGCCCCGGGCUUUCCCCGCAGGGCCAUGCGGCCCCCCGGGAAUAUGCGGUAUUAGCGGCCGUUUCCGGCCGUUGUCCCCCUGUGCGCGGCAGGUUGCCCACGCGUUACUCACCCGUCCGCCACUGGCCGCGCCUUCACUAGGUUUCAGGCGCGGCCCGUUCGACUUGCAUGUGUUAGGCACGCCGCCAGCGUCAUCCUCAGCCAGAGUACAAACUACUCUGUAGACUGCCAACGGACGACACAA
RNAcentral lists this ribosomal RNA (525 nucleotides) under uncultured bacterium. Its description in RNAcentral is "partial 16S ribosomal RNA". The record is from RNAcentral.